Molecule: ribosomal RNA, 784 nt
Filed under: uncultured eukaryote
Lineage: Eukaryota
Description: SSU rRNA
Rfam family: Eukaryotic small subunit ribosomal RNA
Source: RNAcentral
GAAGACGAUCAGAUACCGUCGUAGUCUUUACUAUAACGAUGAGGACUGGGGGUCGGGCGAGGAAUUACGAUGACCCGCCCGGCACCUUCGAGAAAUCAAAGUGUUUGCUUUCUGGGGGGAGUAUGGUCGCAAGGCUGAAACUUAAAGGAAUUGACGGAAAGGGCAUCACCGGGGUGUGGAGCUGCGGCUUAAUUUGACUCAACACGGGAAAAACUUACCAGGUCAGGACAUAGUGAGGAUUGACAGAUUGAGAGCUCUUUCUUGAUUCUAUGGUUGGUGGUGCAUGGCCGUUCUUAGUUGGUGGAGUGAUUUUGUCUGGUUAAUUCCGUUAACGAGCGAGACCUGGGCGUGCUAACUAGGGGCUACUACCAUUUUGGUAGUACGCGUUUCCCUUCUUAGACGGACUGUGGGCGUCUAGCCCACGGAAGCUCCAGGCAAUAACAGGUCUGAGACGCCCUUAGAUGUUCUGGGCCGCACGCGUGCUACACUGAGUGGAUCAGCGGGUCAGGUUGCGCGAAAGUGUUUCCUAGUCUUCAAAUCCGCUCGUGAUGGGGAUUGACGGUUGCAAUUUUCCGUCAUGAACGAGGAAUACCUUGUAAGCGCGGGUCAUCAUCCCGCGCUGAAUACGUCCCUGCCCUUUGUACACACCGCCCGUCGCUCCUACCGAUUGAGUGGUCCGGUGAGGCUUUGGGAUCUGAGCGGAAAGAGCGUUUCGCUGUUUCUGUCCGGAAAACUCAGUCGAACCUUAUCAUUUAGAGGAAGGAGAAGUCGUAACAAGGUUUCC